Molecule: transfer RNA, 67 nt
Filed under: Mus musculus (house mouse)
Lineage: Eukaryota; Metazoa; Chordata; Mammalia; Rodentia; Muridae
Description: tRNA-Asn
Source: RNAcentral
GGAUGGCUCAGUGGUUAAGAGAAUUGAUUGUUCUUCCAUAGGUCCUGAGUUCAAUUCCCAGCAAUCA